GGCUUGUUAGCUCAGCUGGUAGAGCAUUGGAUUCCAAUCCAAAAUCAUCCAAAUGAUGAAAAUGAAUGUUAAACCAUCCAACGGCCGGGAGUUCGAUCCUCUCACGGGUCA
Molecule: transfer RNA, 111 nt
Filed under: Bathycoccus prasinos
Lineage: Eukaryota; Viridiplantae; Chlorophyta; Mamiellophyceae; Mamiellales; Bathycoccaceae
Rfam family: tRNA
About the family: Transfer RNA (tRNA) molecules are approximately 80 nucleotides in length.
Source: Rfam by way of RNAcentral